AGUUAACGUUGGCGGCGUGCCUAACACAUGCAAGUCGAACGCGUCCUAAGGGCAACUUUAGGAUGAGUGGCGAACGGGUGAGUAUCACGUGGGUAAUCUUCCUUCAAGUGGGGGAAUAAGCUCUCGAAAGGGAGUCUAAUACCGCAUGACAUUCCGGGACACAAGUCCCGUAAUCAAAGCCGCAAGGCGCUUGAAGAUGAGCCUGCGUCCUAUUAGCUAGUUGGUGGGGUAACGGCCUACCAAGGCUUAGAUGGGUAGCCGGCCUGAGAGGGUGAACGGCCACACUGGGACUGAGACACGGCCCAGACUCCUACGGGAGGCAGCAGUGAGGAAUUUUGCGCAAUGGGGGAAACCCUGACGCAGCGACGCCGCGUGGGAGGAUGAAGGCCUUCGGGUCGUAAACUCCUGUCAGAGGUGAAGAAUACCCGCAAGGGUUUGACGGUAACCUCAGAGGAAGCCCCGGCUAACUACGUG
This 474-nucleotide ribosomal RNA is filed under the name uncultured bacterium. RNAcentral describes it as "bacterial SSU rRNA". It matches the Rfam family "Bacterial small subunit ribosomal RNA", at positions 29 to 507 of the family's 1533-position model. The record is from RNAcentral.